This 1212-nucleotide ribosomal RNA is filed under the name Triticum aestivum (bread wheat). Its description in RNAcentral is "partial small subunit ribosomal RNA". Lineage: Eukaryota; Viridiplantae; Streptophyta; Magnoliopsida; Poales; Poaceae. The record is from RNAcentral.
AUGACACCGCAUCUGCCCGUGUCGUCCCACCCCGCCCACCACCUGCUCGACGCGCUGCCCCCGUCGCCGCACCACCGCCGCCUCCGCAGGCGCCGCCGCUUCUGCCCGCCGCGCCCUAGGGCCUCCUCCUCCCCCUCCUCCCUCCGCUGCCGCGCCGCCGCCGCCGCCGCGCCGCAGCCGGCGGCGGCGGCGGCGAGGACGAGGGUGUUCGUCGUGUCGGACCUGCACACCGACUACCCGGAGAACAUGGAGUGGGUGCGCCGGCUCGCGGUGCGGGCGGGGCCGCCGGGCGCCGGGGAGGGGUUCGACGCGCUCGUCGUCGCCGGGGACGUGGCGGAGACCAGGGACAACUUCGCGCGCACCAUGGAGGCCCUCAGGGCGCGCUUCGACGCCGUCUUCUACGUGCCCGGCAACCACGACCUCUGGCUGCGCCGCGAGGGUGGCCGCUACGUGGAUUCGAUGGAGAAACUGACUGCAUUGCUUGAUGCGUGUAGUGAGCUGGGUGUGGAUACAGGCCCUAGAACGAUAGGUGACUUAGGGAUCAUACCAUUGUUUUCAUGGUAUCACAAGAGCUUUGACAAGGAAAAGGAUGUUAACAGUGUGCGUGUUCCUUCGUUAGAGAUGGCUUGUAAAGACUUUCAUGCUUGCCAAUGGCCUUUGGACUUGGGAAGUGAUGAUGAGGCUCUUGCUCUUUACUUUGACAAGUUGAAUGACAAGAACAAUGAUGCUAUUGAAGAAGUAAAAAAAAAGAGCAAACAGAUACUUACAUUUUCACACUUUGUACCAAGGCAAGAGUUAUGUCCAGAGAAGCGAAUGCUUUACUAUCCAAACCUUCCGAAGGUCAUCGGCUCUGAUUAUUUGGAAAGAAGGCUGAGAGCUAUACACGACAACGCUAAAGAUGGAGCAGCCUGUCAUGUAUUCGGGCAUACACAUUUCUGUUGGGAUUCUGUGGUUGACGGUAUCAGGUAUGUCCAAGCGCCUCUGGCAUACCCUCGAGAAAGAAAGCGAAGGAUAAAUGGAGGCCAGGGAUGGUUGCCGUUUUGUGUAUAUCGUGAUGGAUUCAACCCUGAAAUAUACCCGGCUAUAUGGUCUGACUAUUACAACAAGAACAGAAGGGAGCCUGAGAACACUCAGCUUGCGCCGUGGGUUGCCAAAUAUUUUUCAAAGUACUACGGACCCCCUGUUUUUGCCAAACAAACUGAAUCCGGUUGA